RNAcentral lists this ribosomal RNA (253 nucleotides) under uncultured bacterium. RNAcentral's name for it is "partial 16S ribosomal RNA". It matches the Rfam family "Bacterial small subunit ribosomal RNA", at positions 524 to 776 of the family's 1533-position model. The record is from RNAcentral.
UACGUAGGGUGCGAGCGUUGUCCGGAAUUAUUGGGCGUAAAGAGCUUGUAGGCGGUUUGUCGCGUCUGCUGUGAAAAUCCGGGGCUCAACCCCGGACUUGCAGUGGGUACGGGCAGACUAGAGUGUGGUAGGGGAGACUGGAAUUCCCGGUGUAGCGGUGAAAUGCGCAGAUAUCGGGAGGAACACCGGUGGCGAAGGCGGUUCUCUGGGCCUGACCUGACGCUGAGGAGCGAAAGCGUGGGGAGCGAACAGG